Molecule: long non-coding RNA, 1050 nt
Organism: Daphnia pulicaria
Lineage: Eukaryota; Metazoa; Arthropoda; Branchiopoda; Diplostraca; Daphniidae
Exons: 2
Source: RefSeq, a predicted model, not a curated record
AACCGACAACAAAGGACCGAAAUAAUCAAAAUUCCUGCAUUCAUCAAAAUUUGAAGGGCGAACAAAUAAUCGAAACGGCAUCGUCGCCCUUGAAAAUUCACGCCAAAACCACACACACCGACGAAAUAAAUUCAGCAGUCGUAUUCGGGACCAUCUCGCUCAAACUUUCAUGCACUUGGCCAUUGUACAAACUCUCUGUCUGUCUGGACAUCUUCUUCUUUUAUUAUUUACCAUAAGAAAGGGAACACGUUCGGUUCUCGUCUGGAGGGUUUGGUGCUGAAAAACAUUGACGAGAGUAGACCACGAUUUCCUUUUGAACAACCAGACGGUGCCAAGAAAAAAAGAAAAAGUAGUUUUUUACUCGAUAGAGACGUCAGAGCAGUCUGCUGGGGGAUUUUUUGUGCGGAGGAAACGCAUCCGCUGGAUGGUGAGUGAGAGAGACGGUGCGGAGUAGACAAAUAAAGAAGCUGGAAGAAGAAGAUAUAUCUGUAUGAAGAAAAAAUGAACAACGGGGAGAGAAAAAUCAACGUCACUCGACGCGAUGAACAACAAACGGAGAGGAAAAGGAUAAAUUUGAAUAAUAAGAGUCGACUGCUGCAAUGCCCAUGGCCUUUCACCCUCAGCCCAGACACAAUAUGAUCGAGCUGUUUAUAUAUUUUUUACCGCACUUUUGAGAUUUUCAAUGUCGUGAUUUUUUUUUGAUUAAAUUUUUCUAAAAUAAUUUAUUGUAUGGACGUACAAUGGAAAGGAUUUCUAUUCGAUCGGCCCAGCAUUUCAUUGGAUUCAAUCCGGUUUUAGAGCGCUUCUUAUCAUUGACCCUAGCGCUGGAAAAUAGUCGGCGAGUGAAUAGAAUAUAAUUUAAAAUACGGGAAAAUAUAUUCAACAUCCAACAACAAAGAUAUUAUGUUACAAAAGGCUAUACAAAACGUGAACUGCUGGGCAAAAAGAUUGUUGGACAAUCAAAAGGAAAGCUGUAAAUAAAAUAGCUCCCUUACGGGUGGGGUUUAUUCGCUAUAGAAAGAUUUAUUGAAAUCAAAUUUUUUAAGUAGA